Molecule: ribosomal RNA, 330 nt
Filed under: Agrococcus sp.
Lineage: Bacteria; Bacillati; Actinomycetota; Actinomycetes; Micrococcales; Microbacteriaceae
Description: bacterial SSU rRNA
Rfam family: Bacterial small subunit ribosomal RNA
Source: RNAcentral
GGAUACGACGAUCGGAGGCAUCUCCUGGUCGUGGAAAGAACUUCGGUCAAGGAUCAGCUCACGGCCUAUCAGUUAGUUGGUGAGGUAAUGGCUCACCAAGACGACGACGGGUAGCCGGCCUGAGAGGGUGACCGGCCACACUGGGACUGAGACACGGCCCAGACUCCUACGGGAGGCAGCAGUGGGGAAUAUUGCACAAUGGGCGCAAGCCUGAUGCAGCAACGCCGCGUGAGGGACGAAGGCCUUCGGGUUGUAAACCUCUUUUAGCAGGGAAGAAGCGAAAGUGACGGUACCUGCAGAAAAAGCACCGGCUAACUACGUGCCAGCCGC